CAGCAGUGGGGAAUAUUGCACAAUGGGCGGCAAGCCUGAUGCAGCCAUGCCGCGUGUAUGAAGAAGGCCUUCGGGUUGUAAAGUACUUUCAGCAGUGAGGAAGGUGGGUAUGUUAAUAGCAUAUCAUUUGACGUUAGCUGCAGAAGAAGCACCGGCUAACUCCGUGCCAGCAGCCGCGGUAAUACGGAGGGUGCGAGCGUUAAUCGGAAUUACUGGGCGUAAAGCGCAUGCAGGUGGUUUGUUAAGUCAGAUGUGAAAGCCCCGGGGCUCAACCUCGGAAUUGCAUUUGAAACUGGCAAACUAGAGUACUGUAGAGGGGGUAGAAUUUCAGGUGUAGCGGUGAAAUGCGUAGAGAUCUGAAGGAAUACCGGUGGCGAAGGCGGCCCCCCUGGACAGAUACUGACACUCAGAUGCGAAAGCGUGGGGAGCAAACAGGAUUAGAUACCCUGGUAG
RNAcentral lists this ribosomal RNA (453 nucleotides) under uncultured bacterium. RNAcentral's name for it is "bacterial SSU rRNA". It matches the Rfam family "Bacterial small subunit ribosomal RNA", at positions 349 to 793 of the family's 1533-position model. The record is from RNAcentral.